GAUGAAGAACGCAGUGAAAUGCGAUAAGUAAUGUGAAUUGCAGAAUUCAGUGAAUCAUCGAAUCUUUGAACGCACAUUGCGCCCGCCAGUAUUCUGGCGGGCAUGCCUGUCUGAGCGUCAUUUCAACCUCAUGCCCCUAGGGCGUGGUGUUGGGGAUCGGCCAAAGCCCGCGAGGGACGGCCGGCCCCUAAAUCUAGUGGCGGACCCGUCGUGGCCUCCUCUGCGAAGUAGUGAUAUUCCGCAUCGGAGAGCGACGAGCCCCUGCCGUUAAACCCCCAACUUUCCAAGGUUGACCUCAGAUCAGGUAGGAAUACCCGCUGAACUUAAGCAUAUCAAUAAGCGGAGGA
This 347-nucleotide unclassified non-coding RNA is filed under the name soil metagenome. Its description in RNAcentral is "partial contains 5.8S ribosomal RNA, internal transcribed spacer 2, and large subunit ribosomal RNA". The stretch from base 1 to 120 matches the Rfam family "5.8S ribosomal RNA", at positions 35 to 154 of the family's 154-position model. The record is from RNAcentral.